This 1047-nucleotide ribosomal RNA is filed under the name Clostridioides difficile. RNAcentral describes it as "partial 23S ribosomal RNA". It matches the Rfam family "Bacterial large subunit ribosomal RNA", at positions 387 to 1444 of the family's 2925-position model. The record is from RNAcentral. Lineage: Bacteria; Bacillati; Bacillota; Clostridia; Peptostreptococcales; Peptostreptococcaceae.
GAGAAGACUUUAGAUAUGAUCCAGAGUACCACGGGACACGUGAAACCCUGUGGGAAGCAGGAGGGACCACCCUCCAAGGCUAAAUACUACCUAGUGACCGAUAGCGUAUAGUACCGUGAGGGAAAGGUGAAAAGAACCCCGGGAGGGGAGUGAAAUAGAACCUGAAACCCUGCACUUACAAGCUGUGGAAGCACAUUUCUUGUGUGACCGCGUACUUUUUGUAGAACGGGCCAACGAGUUACGUUAAGUAGCAAGGUUAAGCACUUAAGGUGCGGAGCCGUAGCGAAAGCGAGUUUUAACUGAGCGUUCAGUUACUUGACGUAGACCCGAAACCGGGCGACCUACCCAUGAGCAGGAUGAAGCGAAAGUAAAAUUUCGUGGAGGUCCGAACCCACGAGCGUUGAAAAGCUCGGGGAUGACUUGUGGGUAGCGGUGAAAUUCCAAUCGAGCCCGGAGAUAGCUGGUUCUCCCCGAAAUAGCUUUAGGGCUAGCCUCAAGGUGAGAGAUACGGAGGUAGAGCACUGAAUGUCCUAGGGGGUAUUGCACCUACCGAAGACUAUCAAACUCCGAAUGCCGUCAUCUUAUACUUGGGAGUCAGACUGUGGGUGAUAAGAUUCAUAGUCGAAAGGGCAACAGCCCAGAUCGUCAGCUAAGGUCCCUAAAUGUAAGUUAAGUGGUAAAGGAUGUGGGAUUGCACAGACAACCAGGAUGUUGGCUUAGAAGCAGCCACUCAUUCAAAGAGUGCGUAAUAGCUCACUGGUCGAGUGAUCCUGCGCCGAAGAUUUCCGGGGCUAAAACUUACUACCGAAGCUACGGCAUCAGUAAUGAUGGGUAGGGGAGCUUCCCAUACGGGUUGAAGCAUGACCGUAAGGACAUGUGGACAGUAUGGGAGUGAGAAUGUUGGCAUGAGUAGCGAGAUGUGGGUGAGAAUCCCACAGGCCGUAAACCCAAGGUUUCCAGGGGAAGGUUCGUCCGCCCUGGGUUAGUCGGGACCUAAGCUGAGGCCGAAAGGCGUAGGUGAUGGACAACAGGUUGAUAUUCCUGUAC